UACGGAGGGUGCAAGCGUUAAUCGGAAUUACUGGGCGUAAAGCGCACGCAGGCGGUCUGUUAAGUCAGAUGUGAAAUCCCCGGGCUUAACCUGGGAACUGCAUUUGAAACUGGCAGGCUUGAGUCUUGUAGAGGGGGGUAGAAUUCCAGGUGUAGCGGUGAAAUGCGUAGAGAUCUGGAGGAAUACCGGUGGCGAAGGCGGUUAGCUGGGCAGUUGCUGACACUGAGGCGCGACAGCGUGGGGAGCAAACAGG
Molecule: ribosomal RNA, 253 nt
Filed under: uncultured bacterium
Lineage: Bacteria
Description: partial 16S ribosomal RNA
Rfam family: Bacterial small subunit ribosomal RNA
Source: RNAcentral